UGAAGAUGCCACAGAGACGUUCUUUCCAUGUAAACAUCUUUCGCUGUGUAAGAAAUGCUGUCCUCCAAAUAUACCUAAACGAUGCCUCAAGUGUGGACGGAAUAUAACGAGCAAAACUACUUUGGAGGAUCCAAAUUCGUCAAAGAGAGAAGUCCAGACGUUGAGAGAACCAACUG
Octopus bimaculoides (California two-spot octopus) is the source of this 176-nucleotide long non-coding RNA. NCBI's taxonomy places the organism in Eukaryota, Metazoa, Mollusca, Cephalopoda, Octopoda, Octopodidae. The record is from RefSeq and is a predicted model, not a curated record.